This 231-nucleotide ribosomal RNA is filed under the name uncultured Alicycliphilus sp. Its description in RNAcentral is "partial 16S ribosomal RNA". It matches the Rfam family "Bacterial small subunit ribosomal RNA", at positions 548 to 774 of the family's 1533-position model. Lineage: Bacteria; Pseudomonadati; Pseudomonadota; Betaproteobacteria; Burkholderiales; Comamonadaceae. The record is from RNAcentral.
AGAGAUGCACUGGGCGUAAAGCGUGCGCAGGCGGUUUUUGUAAGACAGAGGUGAAAUCCCCGGGCUCAACCUGGGAACUGCCUUUGUGACUGCAAGGCUGGAGUGCGGCAGAGGGGGAUGGAAUUCCGCGUGUAGCAGUGAAAUGCGUAGAUAUGCGGAGGAACACCGAUGGCGAAGGCAAUCCCCUGGGCCUGCACUGACGCUCAUGCACGAAAGCGUGGGGAGCAAACA